GUCGACGAUGAAGCCCAGCUUGCUGGGUGGAUUAGUGGCGAACGGGUGAGUAACACGUGAGUAACCUGCCCUUAACUCUGGGAUAAGCCUGGGAAACUGGGUCUAAUACCGGAUAGGAGCGUCCACCGCAUGGUGGGUGUUGGAAAGAUUUAUCGGUUUUGGAUGGACUCGCGGCCUAUCAGCUUGUUGGUGAGGUAAUGGCUCACCAAGGCGACGACGGGUAGCCGGCCUGAGAGGGUGACCGGCCACACUGGGACUGAGACACGGCCCAGACUCCUACGGGAGGCAGCAGUGGGGAAUAUUGCACAAUGGGCGCAAGCCUGAUGCAGCGACGCCGCGUGAGGGAUGACGGCCUUCGGGUUGUAAACCUCUUUCAGUAGGGAAGAAGCGAAAGUGACGGUACCUGCAGAAGAAGCACCGGCUAACUACGUGCCAGCAGCCGCGGUAAUACGUAGGGUGCGAGCGUUAUCCGGAAUUAUUGGGCGUAAAGAGCUCGUAGGCGGUUUGUCGCGUCUGUCGUGAAAGUCCGGGGCUUAACCCCGGAUCUGCGGUGGGUACGGGCAGACUAGAGUGCAGUAGGGGAGACUGGAAUUCCUGGUGUAGCGGUGGAAUGCGCAGAUAUCAGGAGGAACACCGAUGGCGAAGGCAGGUCUCUGGGCUGUAACUGACGCUGAGGAGCGAAAG
Molecule: ribosomal RNA, 684 nt
Filed under: Micrococcus sp. De-Eco39
Lineage: Bacteria; Bacillati; Actinomycetota; Actinomycetes; Micrococcales; Micrococcaceae
Description: bacterial SSU rRNA
Rfam family: Bacterial small subunit ribosomal RNA
Source: RNAcentral